This 629-nucleotide ribosomal RNA is filed under the name uncultured bacterium. RNAcentral describes it as "bacterial SSU rRNA". It matches the Rfam family "Bacterial small subunit ribosomal RNA", at positions 159 to 807 of the family's 1533-position model. The record is from RNAcentral.
UAUGCUAAUACGGGAUAAUAUAUUUGAGAGGCAUCUCUUGAAUAUCAAAGGUGAGCCAGUACAGGAUGGACCCGCGUCUGAUUAGCUAGUUGGUAAGGUAACGGCUUACCAAGGCGACGAUCAGUAGCCGACCUGAGAGGGUGAUCGGCCACAUUGGAACUGAGACACGGUCCAAACUCCUACGGGAGGUAGCAGUGGGGAAUAUUGCACAAUGGGCGAAAGCCUGAUGCAGCAACGCCGCGUGAGUGAUGAAGGCCUUCGGGUCGUAAAACUCUGUCCUCAAGGAAGAUAAUGACGGUACUUGAGGAGGAAGCCCCGGCUAACUACGUGCCAGCAGCCGCGGUAAUACGUAGGGGGCUAGCGUUAUCCGGAUUUACUGGGCGUAAAGGGUGCGUAGGCGGUCUUUCAAGUCAGGAGUGAAAGGCUACGGCUCAACCGUAGUAAGCUCUUGAAACUGGGAGACUUGAGUGCAGGAGAGGAGAGUGGAAUUCCUAGUGUAGCGGUGAAAUGCGUAGAUAUUAGGAGGAACACCAGUUGCGAAGGCGGCUCUCUGGACUGUAACUGACGCUGAGGCACGAAAGCGUGGGGAGCAAACAGGAUUAGAUACCCUGGUAGUCCACGCUGUAAAC